RNAcentral lists this ribosomal RNA (253 nucleotides) under uncultured microorganism. RNAcentral describes it as "partial 16S ribosomal RNA". It matches the Rfam family "Bacterial small subunit ribosomal RNA", at positions 524 to 776 of the family's 1533-position model. The record is from RNAcentral.
UACGUAGGGUGCGAGCGUUGUUCGGAGUUACUGGGCGUAAAGCGCACGUAGGCGGUGCGGUAAGUCAGGGGUUAAAGGCUGCAGCUCAACUGCAGUAAGGCCUUUGAUACUAUCGUGCUAGAGUGUCAGAGAGGAUGGCGGAAUUCCCGGUGUAGCGGUGAAAUGCGUAGAUAUUGGGAGGAACACCAGUAGCGAAGGCGGCUAUCUGGCUGGUAACUGACGCUGAGGUGCGAGAGCGUGGGGAGCAAACAGG